AUUGAACGCUGGCGGCAGGCCUAACACAUGCAAGUCGAACGGUAACAGGAAGCAGCUUGCUGCUUUGCUGACGAGUGGCGGACGGGUGAGUAAUGUCUGGGAAACUGCCCGAUGGAGGGGGAUAACUACUGGAAACGGUAGCUAAUACCGCAUAACGUCGCAAGACCAAAGAGGGGGACCUUAGGGCCUCUUGCCAUCGGAUGUGCCCAGAUGGGAUUAGCUAGUAGGUGGGGUAACGGCUCACCUAGGCGACGAUCCCUAGCUGGUCUGAGAGGAUGACCAGCCACACUGGAACUGAGACACGGUCCAGACUCCUACGGGAGGCAGCAGUGGGGAAUAUUGCACAAGGGGCGCAAGCCUGAUGCAGCCAUGCCGCGUGUAUGAAGAAGGCCUUCGGGUUGUAAAGUACUUUCAGCGGGGAGGAAGGGAGUAAAGUUAAGACCUUUGCUCAUUGACGUUACCCGCAGAAGAAGCACCGGCUAACUCCGU
This 489-nucleotide ribosomal RNA is filed under the name uncultured bacterium. Its description in RNAcentral is "partial 16S ribosomal RNA". It matches the Rfam family "Bacterial small subunit ribosomal RNA", at positions 30 to 506 of the family's 1533-position model. The record is from RNAcentral.